Molecule: ribosomal RNA, 594 nt
Filed under: Triticum aestivum (bread wheat)
Lineage: Eukaryota; Viridiplantae; Streptophyta; Magnoliopsida; Poales; Poaceae
Description: partial small subunit ribosomal RNA
Source: RNAcentral
AUGCCACCGGAUAGAGAUAUUGAGUUUUUGAUUGAGCUAUUGCCAGGCACAGGGCCAAUAUCAAAGAGACCAUAUAGGAUGCCAGCAAAGGAUUUGGUGGAAAUUAAGAAGCAGAUUAAGGAGUUACUGGAUAAGGGAUAUAUUCGCCCAAGUUCUUCACCUUGGGGAUCGCCGGUACUUCUAGUGGAGAAGAAGGAUGGAUCGUUAAGGAUGGUUGUUGAUUAUCGAGGAUUGAAUGAAGUAACGAUCAAGAACAAGUACCCACUACCAAUGAUCAACAAUCUGUUUGAUCGAUUGCAAGGAGCUAAGGUAUUUUCCAAGAUCGAUCUGCGAUCAGGAUACCACCAGUUGAAGAUUCGAGAACAGGAUAUUCCGAAGAUAGCUUUUACUACCAGGUAUGGGCUGUAUGAGUAUACCGUUAUGUCAUUUGGUCUGACUAACGCACCUGCCUAUUUUAUGAACAUGAUGAACAAAGUGUUUAUGGAGUUCUUGGAUAAGUUCGUCGUAGUGUUCAUUGAUGAUAUCCUGGUGUAUUCGAAGAAUGAAGAGGAGUAUAAGGAGCAUUUGCGUUUGGUACUUGGAAAGCUCAGAGAA